GACAGAGGUGCCAAGCGUUAGGCGGAAUCACUGGGCUUAAAGCGUGUGUAGGCGGGUGCCUAAGUAACUUGUGAAAUCCCACGGCUCAACCGUGGAACGGCUGGGUAUACUGGGUGCCUUGGGUCAUCCAGGGGCUGCCGGAACAAAUGGUGGAGCGGUGAAAUGCGUAGAUAUCGGAAGGAACACCUGUGGCGAAAGCGGCUCACUGGACAAUAACUGACGCUGAUGCACGAAGGCUAGGGGAGCAAACAGG
RNAcentral lists this ribosomal RNA (253 nucleotides) under uncultured bacterium. RNAcentral describes it as "partial 16S ribosomal RNA". It matches the Rfam family "Bacterial small subunit ribosomal RNA", at positions 524 to 776 of the family's 1533-position model. The record is from RNAcentral.